AAUGAAGUGCCUGAAAAAGGAUUAUUUUGAUAGAAUAAAUUAUGUAAACAAUUACCUUCAUUA
Molecule: transfer RNA, 63 nt
Filed under: Tribolium audax (American black flour beetle)
Lineage: Eukaryota; Metazoa; Arthropoda; Insecta; Coleoptera; Tenebrionidae
Description: tRNA-Ile
Source: RNAcentral